UUGGCCAUCGUGACCCGUCCCCCGUAGCGACCCCA
This 35-nucleotide ribosomal RNA is filed under the name Dillenia indica. Its description in RNAcentral is "partial 28S ribosomal RNA". The record is from RNAcentral. Lineage: Eukaryota; Viridiplantae; Streptophyta; Magnoliopsida; Dilleniales; Dilleniaceae.